UCUCAGAUAAGAACAAAAUCGCUCGCGUCUCAGAUCAGCACGAUCCACCGUCGCACCAAUCGUCUUACCACCGCCACCACGCCGUUGGCCUGCGGCGACGCCACUCCGCACAGCACCAUCUACCGUCGCACACCCCCACUGUCGCACACUCGCCACCGCGAUGCCGACGCCACAGCCGCCACCCCCGCUAACGUCCGUAGAUCUGAAGCUCCUCCUUGCCCCGGGACGACGACCCCGGCUCCUCUGCGACGCCAGUCUCCCGCCUCCUUCUUCAGCCGGAGAUUGGGGCUGCCGGCGCGGCUUCCUCGUCCGAUCUGCAGAUGCGAUGAGAAUUGGAAUGGUAGGUGCUAGCUGAUUCCAGAGCAAAACGGCAAGAAAAUUCUUUCAAAAAGCCUACUGUUGACAUCAAGACCGCUUUAUCACGCUUGAUUGAUAGAUUGUCAAACUAUGCUGCUUCAAGUCCAGAAGACUCAUCAAGGGGUGAUCCUAGUGAUUACAGUAGUCAAAAGAACAGACGAGCUCUCUGAUUCAAUGUUAUGGGUAGCAUGGACGAUUCUGUACUCUCACUGCGGGAGAGAUUAAAUGGCCCACUCCUUAACACUAUGGUUUGUCAAGAGGUAAUUUUUACUGUGAAGUUGUUCUUCUUGGAGGAUCAGUUUGGGAGCUCUCCUUUCUUGUGCAAGACAUAUUUCUGAUACAAUUAUUUAUUGUAAUUUCAUUCUUUUCUUUUGUAGAUUUCAAUUAUUUUUAAUUUAGAAUUGUAAAUAUGUAAUUUCAUUUAUUGUUUUUACAAAUACUGUAGUAAUUUCAUAAUGGUUGUGUGAGAA
Ipomoea nil (Japanese morning glory) is the source of this 827-nucleotide long non-coding RNA. RefSeq lists it as uncharacterized. The transcript has 4 exons. Lineage: Eukaryota; Viridiplantae; Streptophyta; Magnoliopsida; Solanales; Convolvulaceae. The record is from RefSeq and is a predicted model, not a curated record.